This 253-nucleotide ribosomal RNA is filed under the name uncultured bacterium. RNAcentral's name for it is "partial 16S ribosomal RNA". It matches the Rfam family "Bacterial small subunit ribosomal RNA", at positions 524 to 776 of the family's 1533-position model. The record is from RNAcentral.
UACGUAGGGGGCAAGCGUUGUCCGGAUUUAUUGGGCGUAAAGAGCUCGUAGGCGGUUUGUCGCGUCUGCUGUGAAAACCCGAGGCUCAACCUCGGGCCUGCAGUGGGUACGGGCAGACUAGAGUGCGGUAGGGGAGAUUGGAAUUCCUGGUGUAGCGGUGGAAUGCGCAGAUAUCAGGAGGAACACCAAUGGCGAAGGCAGAUCGCUGGGCCGUAACUGACGCUGAGGAGCGAAAGCAUGGGGAGCGAACAGG